RNAcentral lists this ribosomal RNA (497 nucleotides) under uncultured bacterium. RNAcentral describes it as "partial 16S ribosomal RNA". It matches the Rfam family "Bacterial small subunit ribosomal RNA", at positions 28 to 507 of the family's 1533-position model. The record is from RNAcentral.
GAUGAACGCUGGCGGCGUGCCUAAUACAUGCAAGUCGAGCGAACAGACGAGGAGCUUUCUCCUCUGACUUUAUCGGCGGACGGGCGAUUAACACGUGGAUAACCUACCUAUAAGACUGGGAUAACUUCGGGAAACCGUAGCUAAGACCGGAUAAUAUAUUGAACCUCAUUGUUCAAUAGUUGAAGACGGUUUUUCUUUCACUUAUAGAUUGAUCCGCGCCGCAUUACCUAGUUGGUAAGGUAACGGCUUACCAACGCAACGAUGCGAAGCCGACCUGAACGGGAGAUCGGACACACUGGAUCUGAGAAACGGCACAGACACCUAGGGGAGGAAGCAGUAGGGAAUCUUACGCAAUGGGGGAAAGCCUGACGGAGCACAGCGGCGUGAGUGAUGAUGGUCUUAGGCUCGUAAAACUAUGAUAUUCGGGAAGAUGAAAUGUGUAAGUACCUAUGAACGUAUUGACGGUACCUAAUCAGAAAGCCACGGCUAACUCCGUG